UAUGCUUCUCACAUCUGUGGAACAGUUGUUUAAUUCUAUCUUUGUAGAAGUCAACAGAUAUGGAGGCAAACCAGCUCUUCACAGCAGUAAUGACUUUCUUCUUAUCAAAAAAGUUAUUCCUCAUAAAUGUAUUUUCAUACUUCAAAAGGGGUUUGAAAUGACAGGCCAAGAGACUAUAGGAGAUGGGGCAAGGUUUUGUAGCUAUACUGUUGUAAGUCAGAAACAAUUGGAAAUUUGAAUAUGGGAGAUAGGGCAUAGGUUUCAUUAUUUGUGAGAAAAGUGUGUGUUUCUGCAGCUCUGUGCAGAUGCACUGUCAACUGACAACAGCACAUCUUUUGAUAGCAAACCAUGUCUUUUUUCCUUGAUACUGUCCUAUAACUUUAGUAAUAUGCUCAUUAUUGUUGGC
This 406-nucleotide long non-coding RNA is filed under the name Androctonus crassicauda. Lineage: Eukaryota; Metazoa; Arthropoda; Arachnida; Scorpiones; Buthidae. The record is from RNAcentral.